Molecule: long non-coding RNA, 234 nt
Filed under: Elaeis guineensis (African oil palm)
Lineage: Eukaryota; Viridiplantae; Streptophyta; Magnoliopsida; Arecales; Arecaceae
Description: long non-coding RNA (EGUI_LNC039008)
Source: RNAcentral
UAUAAAAUUUUUUAAAACACUAACAUCUUAAUUUCUAGCUAAUUGUCCUCCCCAUCAUAUAAAUCUCAUUCCAUAAUACAUUUAUCUUACCUAACACCCUCCAAAAAUUUCUAAACUUUGCAAAAUGGUGGAGCAAUGAGUUAACAACCUCCAAUUAAAUUUUCAGAUCGAAAUACCUAGUCAUUAAAUGGUUGUAAAAUCUCGGAUUACCAUAGGCUGGAAUCUAUCUGCCCA